GGCAGUCAGUUACCUAUCACAACACCAUCACAGCCCAGCAAGAGUGUGGCUAACCCUUGAGCAGUAUUAAGAUGUCUUGGUUACUGAGUUAAAUAGUGCUAAGGAUUCAAGAAAUGUACUUGUAUUGACAAGUUACUAUAUAUUUAGAAGGAAGAAUAAUAAGGUACAGCGUCUCAUUGAUUCCCAUUAGUACUCAUUUAUGGCAUUAACCUUCAUUAAGUGUGUCUCUGUAUUCCUCCCCUAGGGUUCUCUAAAUGCCAUGUGGUAUGCAGAGGUUAAGGAGCUCCGGGAAAAGGCUGAGUCCUAUCGGAAGCGAGUUCAGGGGACGCAUUUUUCUCGGGACCAUCUGAAUCAGAUUAUGUCUGACAGCAACUGCUGUUGGGAUGUCUCCUCAGUCGCAAGCUCGGAAGGCACCAUUAGUAGCAACAUCCAAGCCCUGGAUCUUGCUGGAGAUCUUACAAGCCACAGGACCCUCCAGAAACACCCUCCUACCAAACUGGAAGAGAAAAAAGUUGCAUUGGCAGAACA
RNAcentral lists this long non-coding RNA (528 nucleotides) under Rattus norvegicus (Norway rat). RNAcentral describes it as "long non-coding RNA NONRATT025826". The record is from RNAcentral. Lineage: Eukaryota; Metazoa; Chordata; Mammalia; Rodentia; Muridae.